UGUCAAGCCCCGGACAAUAUGAAAUUACCCAACUCCGUCAGGUCUGAAAGGAAGCAGCGGUAAGUAAUCGAGUAUGUGAUCCGGGUGUCUUGACCUUU
This 98-nucleotide signal recognition particle RNA is filed under the name Ignavibacteriota bacterium. RNAcentral describes it as "Ignavibacteriae bacterium signal recognition particle sRNA small type". It matches the Rfam family "Bacterial small signal recognition particle RNA". From Rfam's summary of the family: The signal recognition particle (SRP) is a universally conserved ribonucleoprotein involved in the co-translational targeting of proteins to membranes. Archaeal SRP consists of a 7S RNA and homologues of the eukaryotic SRP19 and SRP54 proteins. Lineage: Bacteria; Pseudomonadati; Ignavibacteriota. RNAcentral also lists the same sequence under 6 other names. The record is from RNAcentral.